UACGGAGGGGGCGAGCGUUGUUCGGAAUCACUGGGCGUAAAGCGCGUGUAGGCGGUCUACUAAGUCUGAUGUGAAAGCCCGGGGCGCACCCUCGGAAGUGCAUUGGAAACUGGCAGACUGGAGUCCCGGCGAGGAGGGUGGAAUUCCUGGUGUCGCGGGGAAAUGCGGAGAUAUCAGGAGGAACACCGGUGGCGAAGGCGGCCCUCUGGACGGUGUCUGACGCUGAGACGCGAAAGCGUGGGGAGCAAACAGG
This 253-nucleotide ribosomal RNA is filed under the name uncultured bacterium. Its description in RNAcentral is "partial 16S ribosomal RNA". It matches the Rfam family "Bacterial small subunit ribosomal RNA", at positions 524 to 776 of the family's 1533-position model. The record is from RNAcentral.